AUGGAAGUCGACUGUUUGGAGCUAGUGAAGUUCUGGCAAUCUCGCCACAGUUCUCGUUCAAUUGUGGCUCCUUUACUUUUAGAAAUAGGAGAGCUAUGUACCUCUUUUGCUUCUUUUGAUAUUCUUCAUGUAAAUUGAGCGGCGAACGUUCCGGCGCAUCUGUGUGCGAAGCGAGCUUGCACAUUGAAUGUGACCGAAAGCUGGCUCGAUGAAACUCCUAGCUUCUUGGUGACCAGCCUUCUGGCUUACUGCACCUAG
RNAcentral lists this ribosomal RNA (258 nucleotides) under Triticum aestivum (bread wheat). Its description in RNAcentral is "partial small subunit ribosomal RNA". The record is from RNAcentral. Lineage: Eukaryota; Viridiplantae; Streptophyta; Magnoliopsida; Poales; Poaceae.